This is a ribosomal RNA of Pestalotiopsis fici W106-1, 120 nucleotides long. The record is from Rfam. Lineage: Eukaryota; Fungi; Ascomycota; Sordariomycetes; Amphisphaeriales; Sporocadaceae.
ACAUACGACCAUAGCUCUUAGAAAACUCGGCAUCCCGUCCGCUCUGCCCUAGAUAAACUGAGAAGCGCCGGAUUAGUACUCAGAUCGGUGACGGCUGGGGAAUCCCCGGUGUUGUAUGUU